Molecule: long non-coding RNA, 5391 nt
Organism: Passer domesticus (house sparrow)
Lineage: Eukaryota; Metazoa; Chordata; Aves; Passeriformes; Passeridae
Exons: 2
Source: RefSeq, a predicted model, not a curated record
GGGAUCCGCCAGGCCGGGGAGGCCUCGUCCGGGCCUGGUUAUCCUGAGGGCCGGCCUUCGGCCAAGGCCACCAGCCUGCCAUAAAACAGGGAUGCUGAAUCGGGACAGAUGCCUGUCCCUCCUCCUGCUGCAGCUGUUCUCCCUCCCAGGCACAGGGGGAAGCAUCUGCAGUGGGUUGGGGUGUGUGAACUAGCCCCGACUGCAAAGCGGCACAAAGCUGUCAGGGAGGUUUGGGGUAGACAUGAGGAAAAGGUCUUCACCCACAGGGUGAACGCUGGGCUAGGCACCCCUGGGAAGUGGUCACAGCACCAAGCCUGACACAGUUCAAGUGUUUGGAGAACACUCCUGGGCACAAGGAUCUCACAACUUUUUAAAGGGAACACUGCACACUUCAAAUUACUGAAGCACAGGAGCAUGGGAAGUAUGCUGCAGCUGGUCUGGGCUGUGGAGGCUGUCUGUGAUACUUGUGCAGAGAAUGACUUGAAAACAACAAUUAAAGCACAGCUGGGGAGGAGCUGACACACUCAGAAGGGAAAAGUUACCCGUGUACAUCUGAGCUAGGAUUCAGAACAGCCCAAGGAGACGCUCAUGCAUUGCUUUCCUUGCCCAGGCAAAGUGCAGCCUCUUUUCUACAAACUCAAUCCAGAUUUUUAGACAUCAGAAGAAUCACUCUGGUAUUGGAGCCUGAUCAAGCACAAAAAACAUCCUCAGCCUUCAGAAAAAUACCAGAUGGCUGCAGAUGCCAGCUCCUUCGGCCAGGCAGUGUUUUGAGAGAAAAGGCCAACUUGUUGUGGAGCACUGCAUCCCAGAUACAACUCUGCAGAGCAGCAAAGAGCCACAAAGAAAUCCCUGGAGGAGGAGGAGCAUCCAAGCCAAUGUAUUCCCGUAACAUCAGAUUUUCAAGGCUACGCAUAUGUUCAUAUCCAAAUAUGCUCUCUUUCCCCAGAGGGAAGAGGGACCUACAGAAGUGACUCUGGCUGGAAAUGCUCUUAUGAGUUUCUGAGCAGUUGUGUGCACUUGAAGCUCCAGUCAGAAUUGCCAAAUCAUUGGAAACAAGUUGCAAAAACAUGCCUGGCAAUGUAAGAGGGGAUACUUAGUCUCUACUUAGUGAACUGGUCUUUGGAAUAUCAACUGUGAGACUUUAAGCUGGUUGGUUCUCAGUCACCUACUCUUUGAGGACAUCAUCAUGGUGCUGCUGCUGCAGAGGAUAAUAUCCUGUUUGCCCUACAGAAAUAGGUGCAAAGAACAAAUACUUCUCCCAUAAAUAGGGCAGUGAAAGGAUUUAUGCACCAUUUAAGACUUAAAACUGAAUGGGAUGCACACACCUUGUGCAACUUUCACAACAGGAGAAAUGUCACCCUUUGUGUGGUGACUCCACUUCCAAAGACCACUGACUGCAAGAAAAACAGCCCAGCAGCCAAUCACCAGCUGAGGUUAUUUGGUUCUCCAACAGCUCUUGUUUCCCACCAACACCUGAACAGGUAACAUGGUGUCAGGAUGUGUUUGCUUGAUGAUCAAGGAAGGAUUCACAGGGCUCAUGACUCAACAACUUUAGCACCACUUUAGUGCCACGAAGCAAUGGGAGUGCCUGAGCCAGCCAGAGUAAUGUGAUACACACAACAAAGCCUGGUCAGCCACAUGGCCUUGUAAAAACCUGAGGUGCAAUUAGUUUCUAUCAAAAAAAUAAAAAAAUCUUUUCUUUGGUCUCAGGAGUCCUGAAAUGGCUGUGAUACAAUUAAAACCAACCAAAAAAGGAAUGACAGUGAGGAGUGGUGAGAUGCUCAUUUCUGGGGAGUGUGGGCUGGUAAUGUCCGUCUGGAAGGACCUCAGAGAGAGUGGUCACUUUUGAUUACUGCAUAAUGUGAGUAAUUCUCUGGAAAGACCAGUCCUUCCCUCCGGAAUCUUAGCAAAGGGGGGAAAAAUAACACAUUCCAAAAUUGGAAAGCUGCACAGCCCUUGGAUGUCGGGAGCCGCCCAAGAUUUCUGUGCAGGGGCCACCACACAGAAGCUGCAAGGAGUGAGCCACUGGCCCUGCCCUCUGCUCUGGGGUCACAGCUCCAGCUCUAGAGCCAAACUUGGACUGUAACACACCUACUGAAGUGGCCAUCCAGAGCUCUGGUAGGUGGGGUGACACUAACAGCACACGAAACACCUCGUCACCCAGAAGCCACGCUCUCCAAUUCUUCAACCCACGUCUGCACCUUGAUGCAUGAGGUGCAGGUGGUUCCUUUGGAGGUUCCGCCUUCUCUGAGAAGUUUGUCCUCAGUGUAGCUCCUGGCCAACCUGUGGCAUGAACACAAGCCAUGGAAGAAGAACAGUACAUCCCUGGUGCAAAAAAUGGGGCUGUGCUUCAGUCCCCGGGCAGCUGCAGUUCUAAAAAUCCAUGUGUGUCCAAAAGUUGAGAGGAAUGACUGGGACAGAUCCCUAGUGUGCUUGGGACGAUGGGCUUUGCCUGUGAUACUGGGGAAAAAGGAGCAGCAGUGGUAUUUGAGAAGGAAAGAGCCUGUUUUUCCCCAGGUGUACCCCCUGGGCAUACAACAGGCUCAGCACCAGUCCUGAGGGUUUCACAGCUGGCACCUGGACAACAACAGGAAGGUCCAAGAGACACAUCAGACCCCUAUUUCUUUAUAUAGACAUAUAUGGUUACAUUUAAACAGAUGAUUUUUUUUCCUUCAUGCUAAUCCUCCACAAAACCAGUUUGGUUUCCAUUACUAUAUAUAGCACUGGGAAUCUUGGUCUAUUUUUCGUCCCUUUGCAUCUGAUUAUUUUCAGUAGAGCUCAAAGUUUUGAUGAUAUACAGAUUUUAACUGGAACAUGACAUCUACUCACACAAACUUCCAUUAGCAAUAAACCCACAAUGGCCACUUGUAACGUAGAAGAAUUUUAUUCAUACCAUAAUCCUGUCCCAUCAUCCACUGCAAAUAUUACAAUUAUCUUCAAAAUGUCACUGAAUAUCAUUUUGUUCCACUUAAAGCACAGGAAUCCUGGUGUUAGACAGUUACAUUUCUCUUGAGAUUGCUUAUAACAGAACCAUAAUUCAAAUGUAUUUUCCAUGAGCUGUAAAGGUUUAAAGCAAAGAAUCUGCAGUGUGUCUGUGUGCUCGAGUAACUUCUAAACAAUGAGGCUAAUACUUGGUAUUUGACAAGAGAUGUGUCCUGCAUAUUAUGCGAAACACUCACAAUUUUUUUACCAACACAACAGAAAUGCAACAGUUAAAAGAACAUACUUGAAUGACUGGUAACAUUUAAAAAAUCUUUCUUUUAAAAAUUGCACAAGAGAAUACAAAAACAGUGCAGCAGAAAACCAAAUGCGUAUACAUUGACAUAUCUAUAUAGAAUAGGUCUGCCUAUAUAAAGGUACGUGAUAAAAAUUGCAAGGUUGGAAAGUGUGAAUGGUCAUAUUUAAUAACACGUGCAAGAAGCAUAACAUAAUCAUAAUAAAUAGCAGCAACGAAUAUACACUAACAGGACCACUGAAAUUAUGCUAAAAUAAAUUAAGCACCUUUAAGUGAUGACAAGAGCGUGAAGCUGAGCAGCUUUUUAGCUCUGUGAGAACCACUGCGGGCAGCUACUGGAAUAUUGGGCCCUUGGUGGGAGUCAACAGGAACGUGUCCAAUUAGCAUUUGUUAAUUCCAAAGAAGAAAGCAAUUGUGUGUCAGUAGGACUCAGCCAUAUAGCCAAGUUCAGCCACACCUCUAAUUUCAAAAGGGAGACUGAUGUCAUAUUCACUGCUUACCCUUUGGCAUGUCAAAGGUACAGAAAGCUUGUAUUUACUCAGAAGGAUGUUAUUGUAAAGAAGAAAUGGAAUUUUGGCCCAGCUGAAGGGCAGGCAGUGCUGUUUAGCAUGGCUGAGAUGCAGAGCUUUGCUGCUGCUGGCAACAACAAGUUUACCUGCAAAGGUAAAGCUUUGCAAAUCAUAGUCCCAAUGAUCCCAUCCUUGAGGGCUGUGCAGAUCCCCAGCCUUGAGAGACCUGCAAAAAGCUCCAUUCAGGAGGAGCCCCAUGUAUAGGCAGGGCAGCAAUGACUGCCAGCAAGGCCAUGAGGCCCCUGGAGGGACCUGGGCUCCAGGAUCCUGGUGCUCUUUGUUACACAAUACCUGUCUUUUGGAGGAGAAGCAGCAUUUUGAAGCACUUAUUUGGCUUUCAGAAAAUUUUUAAAAAUUCUAAAAUUUAAUCAUAUAUUAGAAGAAAGGCAUUUGAAUUUUAUUAAGUGGACCUUAUUAAAAACAAGCUGCUGUAUUUGUCCCUGAAGUGCACCUGGCACCAUCUCUUCAGCAUUUCAUUUAAUGUUCAGAGAAGUGGAUGAGGACAUUCUGCUGAGUUUUGAAGCUAACUUAAUUCAGCAGAGAAGCCCCCACUGGACUUCUAAGGACUCUAAUGUAAACCCUCAUUUAAAAAAAGCUGAGGACAAAUAACUUAGGUCCUAAAGGCUCCAUUUGAAUUCUUACAAAAUAUUGUCCCUUGACCUCUUCACCCAGAAGACUGGAGCAGGCUGUUUGCCUGAGCAUGUCCUACAAAGCAGACCCAAAAGGGUUUGUGACAUGGAGGAAUAUGGCCCCUAUAUUUAAGCCACAAACAAAAUCACUCAAAAGCUUUACUUUUCCCUGGCUUGCUGGAAUGAUAAAAAGCUUCCUCCAACCUUCCCCUUUACAUUGCAUCUCAUCAAUGAGACUGCCACUCAUUCCAUGGGAUUUUGGAAUCCCCCAGUCUGUAACCAGUGAAAAGUCUUAGAAGUGACAGGCAGAGAGAUAUCAUCGAAUCACAGACUGGUUUGAGUUGGAAGGGAGCUGAAAGGCCACUGACUUCCAACCCCCUGCCAAGGGCAGGGACAUCUUUCACAUCCCUUGAUCAAAGAUCCUUGACAAAAGGUGAGUAAGACCAGCUUUAAAGAUAAUAAAGAAAACAGAAAUUCAUAUGUAUUUUAAAUAGUUGAACCCACAGUUUUAACCAAUAUGAACCAACAAUAGGCAAAAAUCUUGUCUGCAAGCCAAGAGCCCAAAAGAGCCCCAAUCUUCCCCAAAGCUAGUCUUACCCAAAUAGUUAUCCUUCCACUUCCACGAUACAUGAGAUUUGAGCUGACAUCCACUAGGUGACAUAAACAGAAAAAAUACACAUAAAAUGCACACUUCUUUUUUUUUUUCUUCAUAAAGCUGUGGAGCUGCGCAGAGCAAAUUUUAAGUGCACAAGGUCACAUGAAGGCAGCUUUCCAGAGGAAUCAUUUAGACGGUGAGCGAAAUGAAGCUGUUGUAUCUCUGAAUGUUUCUCUUGAGGAUCUCGGAGCAGGGGCCGAGCACCCGCUCGAAGCGGGGCCGGUCCAGCUUCACACACUUGAGGGGUCCACGUGCCACCACCGUGGCUGCCCGGGGCCGGUUGAGCAGCAAGGCUAUCUCACC